CCAAAUACUAUAGGAUUGCAACAAGCGUGAAUAGCCUUGCAAAAACAAAACAAAAUUUACAUCAUGUUCGCUCAGAAACAGAGGCAGGGAACUAUUCGAGUCAGAAAAUGAAAAUUUUAGGGUUCUUUACAAAUCAGAAAUUCUUAAAUUCAGGUAUAUAAAAUUCCCUAUUGUCAAUUAUCAUACAGUGGUAAUAGGUAAGAAUUGAAUAGCUAAUCCCAUUCAUCCUCUAUAUCAUUAAUAAAUUUUAUAUUUAGGUAUCGUACUUUAAAAUUGAUUAAAAUGCACAGGUUGUUGUAUAAUCAAUUGUUUGACUGGUGUCAAUUGGACUGUGUCUACGUAUUAGCUCGAGAUGUUUUGAGGUGAGUUGAUAUAACCCUUUACCAAAGUAGUUUAACUCACAAAAGGAUGCAUACAAGGUGUUUGUUGAAUUGGCUAAAAGAGUGAGUAUGUACUUAAUUGAAGUGAGUGAGUUCAUAUUAUCUUAGAUUUUGUUUUGUUAAAGUAAGAUGAUUUACAUUGGUAUAUGUGCCUAAAUUUUCAGAUUUUUGUGUUAUUCUUAUAUGCCAUUUUCAUGUUGAAAGUUUACGAAAAAGCAAGAAUAUUUACAAAUAAUUUUGAAUGUUUAUUUUAUUUUUAUGUCAUACCUUACAUUUAAGAAUUUAAGAAUAAGUAUGUUUGUAAGAUUUAAACUUGAAAAGUCACAAGAAGAAGUUUUAGAAAGAAAAUAUUUUUGGGAGUAUCCUUUAUUCAGAGAAGGGGUCAUCGUGCAGGCCGAGGGUCCUAACCAAGGCGUUGACUUCCUGAAACUAGUUGUGUCAAAGUAGGGAGCACACGAGCCAAGUGUCUCGUUGCUUAGAAAUUACUUAGCCAUGCUAAGCUAUGAUAUAUGAGCAGUGAUAACGUGAAGCGAGUGGCACCUCAUGGACUGGCCUAUUCGAUCAGGUUGGGAUCGAACUCGUGCCGAUCACAUAAUGACUGAGAUAGAAUCAAGUCAGGAUAGUUAGAACUCCCAAAAAAUAAAGAGAAGUAAUUAUUUUUUAAAAAGAGAAAGAAUUUCUUUUAUAAUAUCAUAAAUUGCUAUCAUGCUAUUAUUUAGAAUUAUGCUUAUAAGCUUUAUGUUUUACAUACAUUUAGAACAUUUGCUCGUAAUGUAUUUGUUAUUAAAGUUUUCCCCCUAUUGUUGAGACUCACUAAGUACAAUGGAUGAUACUGAAGUUCUCUUUUGGGAACCUGCGUUGAUCUGCAGUACAACGUUGGAACCGAAUUUGCAGGCGAGCAGGCUACGAGUUACCUUCUUUUCUAGUGCUAUUGGUAAGCUCCAUUUUUGUUCGUGGAGUAUUUCUUAGAGUCAUAUUUGUUUAGUUAUUUCUUUAUUACUUCGAGAACUAGUAAGAAAAUCUCAUGUCCUGAGCAGUGCGUCAGUUUAUCAGUAGAUACUUCAUAGACAUAGUCGUUGGGUUAAGAUUCAUAUAUUAUUUAUAAUAACUUAGUAGCAUUUUAUUGGUUACUAUGAAUAAAGUUUUAGAGUUGAUUUAUUUAAAUGUUUAAAUUAAUCAAAAGUAUUUUGUUAGAGUAUUGCCUUGUUGCAUGUAAAGUUUGGAGUUAUAAUAGAUUUUAUAAGCAGAUAUGGUUCGCUCGGUCAUGUUUAGUGAUCGAGUGCCGGUCUCGGCUUGUUCAGAAAAUAGGUUGUGACAAACUUGGUAUCAGAUCCUUAGGUUUAUAGAUUCAUAGGGGUCUAUGAAGCCGUGUUAGUAGAGUCUUGUUUAUGGUGUGAAGUGCGCCAUACUUACAAAUAGGAUGCUACAAGCAUUUAGGAAAAAUCUCAUUUUUUUCAUACAUUAGAUCGUGCAGUAGAUCCUACCUCUAUGAAAUUAUCUAAUGUAUUCAUUCCCCAAAAUUCGCAGAAAUGGCUGAUACCCGCAACUCUGACACCGACACAUAAGAUGUUGCUCAGGA
This 1959-nucleotide long non-coding RNA is filed under the name Nicotiana benthamiana. RNAcentral's name for it is "long non-coding RNA (NBEN_LNC011126)". The record is from RNAcentral. Lineage: Eukaryota; Viridiplantae; Streptophyta; Magnoliopsida; Solanales; Solanaceae.